Molecule: ribosomal RNA, 253 nt
Filed under: uncultured bacterium
Lineage: Bacteria
Description: partial 16S ribosomal RNA
Rfam family: Bacterial small subunit ribosomal RNA
Source: RNAcentral
UACGUAGGGUGCAAGCGUUAAUCGGAAUUACUGGGCGUAAAGCGUGCGCAGGCGGUGCUGUAAGACAGGCGUGAAAUCCCCGGGCUCAACCUGGGAACUGCAUUUGUGACUGUAUAGCUAGAGUACGGUAGAGGGGGAUGGAAUUCCGCGUGUAGCAGUGAAAUGCGUAGAUAUGCGGAGGAACACCGAUGGCGAAGGCAAUCCCCUGGACCUGUACUGACGCUCAUGCACGAAAGCGUGGGGAGCAAACAGG